Molecule: ribosomal RNA, 954 nt
Filed under: Priestia flexa
Lineage: Bacteria; Bacillati; Bacillota; Bacilli; Caryophanales; Bacillaceae
Description: bacterial SSU rRNA
Rfam family: Bacterial small subunit ribosomal RNA
Source: RNAcentral
ACAUGCAAGUCGAGCGAACUGAUUUAUAAGCUUGCUUCUAUGACGUUAGCGGCGGACGGGUGAAAAACACGUGGGCAACCUGCCUGUAAGACUGGGAUAACUCCGGGAAACCGGAGCUAAUACCGGAUAACAUUUUCUCUUGCAUAAGAGAAAAUUGAAAGAUGGUUUCGGCUAUCACUUACAGAUGGGCCCGCGGUGCAUUAGCUAGUUGGUGAGGUAACGGCUCACCAAGGCAACGAUGCAUAGCCGACCUGAGAGGGUGAUCGGCCACACUGGGACUGAGACACGGCCCAGACUCCUACGGGAGGCAGCAGUAGGGAAUCUUCCGCAAUGGACGAAAGUCUGACGGAGCAACGCCGCGUGAGUGAUGAAGGCUUUCGGGUCGAAAAACUCUGUUGUUAGGGAAGAACAAGUACAAGAGUAACUGCUUGUACCUUGACGGUACCUAACCAGAAAGCCACGGCUAACUACGUGCCAGCAGCCGCGGUAAUACGUAAGUGGCAAGCGUUAUCCGGAAUUAUUGGGCGUAAAGCGCGCGCAGGCGGUUUCUUAAGUCUGAUGUGAAAGCCCACGGCUCAACCGUGGAGGGUCAUUGGAAACUGGGGAACUUGAGUGCAGAAGAGAAAAGCGGAAUUCCACGUGUAGCGGUGAAAUGCGUAGAGAUGUGGAGGAACACCAGUGGCGAAGGCGGCUUUUUGGUCUGUAACUGACGCUGAGGCGCGAAAGCGUGAGGAGCAAAACAGGAUUAGAUACCCUGGUAGUCCACGCCGUAAACGAUGAGUGCUAAGUGUUAGAGGGUUUCCGCCCUUUAGUGCUGCAGCUAACGCAUUAAGCACUCCGCCUGGGGAGUACGGUCGCAAGACUGAAACUCACAGGAAUUGACGGGGGCUCUGCAACAAGCGGUGGAUCAUGUGGUUUAAUUCGAAGCAACGCGUAGGUAACUUUACCAGGUCU